Molecule: ribosomal RNA, 505 nt
Filed under: uncultured bacterium
Lineage: Bacteria
Description: partial 16S ribosomal RNA
Rfam family: Bacterial small subunit ribosomal RNA
Source: RNAcentral
GACGAACGCUGGCGGCGUGCCUAAUACAUGCAAGUAGAACGCACAGUUUAUACCGUAGCUUGCUACACCAUAGACUGUGAGUUGCGAACGGGUGAGUAACGCGUAGGUAACCUGCCUGGUAGCGGGGGAUAACUAUUGGAAACGAUAGCUAAUACCGCAUAAUAUUGAUUAUUGCAUGAUAAUUAAUUGAAAGGUGCAAUUGCACCACUACCAGAUGGACCUGCGUUGUAUUAGCUAGUAGGUGAGGUAACGGCUCACCUAGGCGACGAUACAUAGCCGACCUGAGAGGGUGAUCGGCCAAACUGGGACUGAGACACGGCCCAGACUCCUACGGGAGGCAGCAGUAGGGAAUCUUCGGCAAUGGACGAAAGUCUGACCGAGCAACGCCGCGUGAGUGAAGAAGGGUUUCGGAUCGUAAAGCUCUGUUGUAAGAGAAGAACGGGUGUGAGAGUGGAAAGUUCACACUGUGACGGUAUCUUACCAGAAAGGGACGGCUAACUACGUG